CGUUGGGACUCUUGAAGUCUUAGUGGCGCAGCUAACGCACUAAGUAGACCGCCUGGGGAGUACGGCCGCAAGGUUAAAACUCAAAUGAAUUGACGGGGGCCCGCACAAGCGGUGGAGCAUGUGGUUUAAUUCGACGCAACGCGAAGAACCUUACCUGGCCUUGACAUGCAGAGAACUUUCCAGAGAUGGAUUGGUGCCUUCGGGAACUCUGACACAGGUGCUGCAUGGCCGUCGUCAGCUCGUGUCGUGAGAUGUUGGGUUAAGUCCCGUAACGAGCGCAACCCCUAUCCCUAGUUGCUAGCAGUUCGGCUGAGAACUCUAGGGAGACUGCCGGUGACAAACCGGAGGAAGGUGGGGAUGACGUCAGGUCAUCNUGGCCCUUACGGCCAGGGCUACACACGUGCUACAAUGGUGCGUACAGAGGGCUGCAAACCCGCGAGGGGGAGCUAAUCUCACAAAACGCAUCGUAGUCCGGAUCGGAGUCUGCAACUCGACUCCGUGAAGUCGGAAUCGCUAGUAAUCGCGAAUCAGAAUGUCGCGGUGAAUACGUUCCCGGGCCUUGUACACACCGCCCGUCACACCAUGGGAGUGGAUUGCACCAGAAGUGGUUAGUCUAACUUCGGGAGGA
This 628-nucleotide ribosomal RNA is filed under the name uncultured bacterium. Its description in RNAcentral is "bacterial SSU rRNA". It matches the Rfam family "Bacterial small subunit ribosomal RNA", at positions 821 to 1450 of the family's 1533-position model. The record is from RNAcentral.